AGAGUACGUGAAACCGUUCAGGGGUAAACCUGAGAAACCCGAAAGGUCGAAAGGGGAGAUUCAGCGUGUCUCGAUUGCGGCGCUGGACGGUCGUGCGACGGAAGACGUACGCGUCAUCCGCACCUUCCGUCCUCCGAACCGUAGUCGAACGCGUGCACUUCUCCCCCUGUAGGACGUCGCGAUCCGUUGGGUGCCGGCCUAAGGCCCGCAAUGGAGCCCGUUCGGACGGUUUACCGUUGCGGACGAACUUGCGGUGUUUCCCGGUCGGCUCGCUCGACGGUAUACAGAUGGCGCGGGGCCGCUACACAUUAGUUAGCGUCCGACCGGCGGCAAGCGCGCUCGUCGUGACGGUGAUCGGACCUGGUGCCGGUCCUGUCCCCGAGUGGCUGUUCGCUGCCGUGUUCUCGGACAGACCUCGUCGAAACGCCGAUCUGCGACGCUAUAGCUUUGGGUACUUUCAGGACCCGUCUUG
This 472-nucleotide ribosomal RNA is filed under the name Stenomorpha hirsuta. RNAcentral describes it as "eukaryotic LSU rRNA". Lineage: Eukaryota; Metazoa; Arthropoda; Insecta; Coleoptera; Tenebrionidae. The record is from RNAcentral.